GAUGAACGCUGGCGGCGUGCCUAAUACAUGCAAGUCGAGCGAACAGACGAGGCUCUUGCUCCUCUGACGUUAGCAGCGGACGGGUGAGUAACACGUGGAUAACCUACCUAUAAGACUGGGAUAACUUCGGGAAACCGGAGCUAAUACCGGAUCAUUUCUUUAACCGCAUGGUUCAAUAGUGAAAUACGGUUUUGCGGUCACUUAUAGAUGGAUCUGCUCCACAUUAGCUAGUUGGUAAGGUAACGGCUUACCAAGGCAACGAUGCGUAACCGGCCUCGGAGGGUGAUCGGCCACACAGGAAGUGAGACACGGUCCAGACUCCUACGGGAGGCAGAAGCAGGGAAGCUUCAGCAAUGGGCGAAAGUCUGACGGAGCAACGCCGCGGGAGUGAUGAAGGUCUGCGGAGCGUAAAACUCUGCUAGUAGGGAAGAACAAAUGUGUAAGUAACUAUGCACGUCUUGACGGUACCUAAUCAGAAAGCAACGGCUAACUACGUG
Molecule: ribosomal RNA, 497 nt
Filed under: uncultured bacterium
Lineage: Bacteria
Description: partial 16S ribosomal RNA
Rfam family: Bacterial small subunit ribosomal RNA
Source: RNAcentral